AAGUCGUAACAAGGUUUCCGUAGGUGAACCUGCGGAAGGAUCAUUAUUGAAUGAAUGUAGAGUUGGUUGUAGCUGGUCUCUCUGAGGCAUGUGCACGCCUUCUCUUUCAUCCACACACCCCUGUGCACCUGUGAGACGGAGGCUUGUUCCUUUAAUUAGGACGGCAUUCGUCUGCUUAACAUAAAAUCAUAUAAUUAAAUCUUGAAUGUAAUUGAUGUAACGCAUCUAAUACAAAGUUUCAACAACGGAUCUCUUGGCUCUC
This 262-nucleotide unclassified non-coding RNA is filed under the name Ceratobasidium sp. RNAcentral describes it as "partial internal transcribed spacer region". The stretch from base 1 to 46 matches the Rfam family "Eukaryotic small subunit ribosomal RNA", at positions 1786 to 1831 of the family's 1831-position model. The record is from RNAcentral. Lineage: Eukaryota; Fungi; Basidiomycota; Agaricomycetes; Cantharellales; Ceratobasidiaceae.